UGGUUCAUGCCUGUAAUCCCAGCACUUUGGGAGGCCGAGGCAGGAGGAUCACCAGAGUUUGGGAGUUCAAGACCAGUCUGACCUACAUGGAGAAACCCCAUCUCUACUAAAAAUGUAAAAUUAGCCAGGCAUGGUGGCGCAUGCCUGUAAUCCCAGCUACUCGGGAGGCUGAGGCAGGAGAAUCGCUUGAACCCGGGAGAUGGAGGUUGAGGUGAGCCGAGAUCACACCAUUGCACCAUUGCACUCCAGCCUGGGCAAUAAGAGCAAAAUUCCGUAUUAAAAAAAAAGGGGGGGGGAGAAAGGCCGGGCGCGGUGGCUCACACCUGUAAUCCCAGCACAUUGGGAGGCCAAGGUAGGCGGAUCACCUGGGGUCAGGAGUUCAAGACCAGCCUGGCUAACAUGGCUAAAAAUACAAAAAAAUUAGCUGGGUGUAGUGGUGUGCACCUGUAAUCCCAGCUACCCAGGAGGCUAAGCCAGGAGAACUGCUUGAACCCAGCGGGCAGAGGCUGCAGUGAGCCGAGAUUGUGCCACUGCACUCUAGCCUGGGUGACAGAGCAAGACUCCGUCUCAAAAAAAAAAGCCAGAUAAAAAGGUGAAAAGGCAAGCUACAGACUAGAAAGAAAGGUUUGCAAAGCACAUAUCCAACAAAUGACUACUAUCUAAAAUAUAUACUAGAGAGCUCUCAAAUUCAACAGCAUAAAAAAGAAAACAAUCAAAUUAGAACAUGGGCAAGCCAGGCAUGGUGGUGCGUACCUGUAGUCCCAGCACUUUGGGAGGCCAAAGCAGGAGGACUGCUUGAGCCCAGGAGUUCCAGACCAGCCUGGGCAACAUAGUGAGACCCCAUCUCUACAUGAAAUUAAAAAACUAGCCAGGCGUCGUGGUGCACACCUGUAGUCCCAGCUACUCAGGAAGCCAAAGCAGGAGGAUUGCUUGAUCCCAGGAGUUCAAGACCAGCCUGGGCAACAUAACAAGAUCUGAUUUCUUAAAAAACAAACAAACAAACAAACAAACAAACAAAAAAACACGAAGAAGAAAAGAACAUGGGCAAAAGAUCUGAAGGCAAAAAGACAUUUUACCAAAGAGGAAAUAUAGCAGAUGGCAAAUAAACGUAUGAAAAUAUGUUUAACAUCAUUAGCAAAAAGAAGAAUGCAAAUUAAAACCACAGUGAGAUGCCACUGCACGCUAUCAGAGUGGCUAAAAUAACAAAUAGUGACAACAUCAAAUGCUGGUGAGGAUGCAGGCAAACUGGGCCACUCAUACACUGCUGAUGGGAAAGUUAAAAGGUACGGUGACUCUGGAAACAGACUGGCAGUUUCUUAAAACAACAACAACAAAAAAAAACUAAACACAACAUGAAACUACCGCAUGAACCAGCAACUGUCCUGGGCAUUUACCCGGGAGAAAUGAAGAGUCAUGUUCAUACCACAUCCUGUAUGCAGUGUUGGCCACAGCUUUAUAUGUCACUGCUCCAAACUGGUAACACCCCGGAUGUCCUCCAAUAAGUGAGUGGUUCAGCAAACUGUGGUCCAAGCACACCAUGGAAUACUACUCAGCAAUGAAAAGGAAUGAACAGCUGACACAUAUGCAAUAAUCUGGAUGACUCUCCAGAGAAUUAUGCUGAAUGACAAAGGCCAAACCUCAAAGGUUACAUACUGAAUAAUUCCAUCACAUAACAUCAUUAAAAUGAUAAAAUUGUAGAAAUGAACAGAGUGGUGGUUGCCGGGGAUAAGGAAGAGAUGGGCUGGGAGGGAAGUGGGUGUGGCUAUAAAAGGGCAACAGGAGGGACGUGUUCUGUACCUGGCUAUCAACAAGACCCUAUCUCUACAAAAAAAAAAAAAUAGCCACGCAUGGUGGCACAUGCCUGUGGUCCCAGCUACUCAGGAGGCUGAGGCAGAAGGAUUACCUGAGCCCAGGAGUUCAAGGCUGCAGUGAGCUAUGAUCGUGCUACUGCACUCCAGCCUGGGCAACAGAGCUGUCUCUUAAAAAAGAAAAAAAAAGCUUUCAAACCUUGAUUCCGUGCUCUGAUGCCCUCCCCAGUCCAUGUCAUUCACCUUGCUGCUUUGCUGAAUGUCUAAACUCUCAGGGGUGGUUCUAUUGCUUCUCGGUUCCUCUCCAGGGCAGGGAACGCAUGCCUUACCCCUGUGUCAUG
RNAcentral lists this long non-coding RNA (2149 nucleotides) under Homo sapiens (human). RNAcentral's name for it is "non-protein coding lnc-C19orf44-4:1". Lineage: Eukaryota; Metazoa; Chordata; Mammalia; Primates; Hominidae. The record is from RNAcentral.